UUCUGGCUCAGGAUGAACGCUGGCGGCACGCCUAACACAUGCAAGUCGAACGGAGUUAUGGAGCUUGCUCCAAUAAACUUAGUGGCGGACGGGUGAGUAACACGUGAGCAACCUGCCUUUCAGAGAGGGAUAGCUUCUGGAAACGGAUGGUAAUACCUCAUAACAUACGGAUUUGGCAUCUUAUCCGUAUCAAAGAUUUAUCGCUGAAAGAUGGGCUCGCGUCUGAUUAGCUUGUUGGUGAGGUAACGGCCCACCAAGGCAACGAUCAGUAGCCGGACUGAGAGGUUGAACGGCCACAUUGGGACUGAGACACGGCCCAGACUCCUACGGGAGGCAGCAGUGGGGAAUAUUGCGCAAUGGGCGCAAGCCUGAAUGCAGCGAUGCCGCGUGAGGGAAGAAGGUUUUCGGAUUGUAAACCUCUGUCAUCGGGGACGAAAAUGACGGUACCCGAGAAGGAAGCUCCGGCUAACUACGUGCCAGCCGCUGC
Molecule: ribosomal RNA, 487 nt
Filed under: uncultured bacterium
Lineage: Bacteria
Description: bacterial SSU rRNA
Rfam family: Bacterial small subunit ribosomal RNA
Source: RNAcentral